GCAACCGCCGAGACCGCCACCUGGCCGAUUCCUCCUCCUCCAGCCCCAGGACUCGCGGCCCAGGUCUCCCAUUUCCCCCCUCCUUUUCCUCAUCAGCCACAGGACUCGGGGCCGAAGAGGCGGAAGCUGAAGGAGGCGGGGUUCCACACCUCCGCUUAGUACAAAAUCCGGGCCAACGUUGCCGACCUACGCCUCCGCUUCGUCCAGGUUCACGAAGCUACUGAUUUCCGAAAGAGUGAUGCUGCUGGCGAGAUUCUGAGAGGCCCCCAUUCUUCUUGGUCUCCUACAGAAGAUGAAGAUCAAUGCUCAUCAUUUCUACCCUCAGGUUUUGGUUUAGCAUGUCAUCUCGGUGUCCUUGCAGACCUGCCAACCAUCGGAUAGCUUGGCAGUUAGUUCGUGUUACUAUCGACCGAGGCUUUUUAGCAGGAAUUACUUGGAAUUACUUGGCUCUGGAAAGCUUCCUGGAAGUGAUGGUGUAGUGUUGGAGAUUAAAAUCAUGUAGUACUGCAGUUUCAAUGAUGUUAUGUUACUUGAUUUUUAUUAGAUGCUUAUGCUUAUAGCACCUUGUAAAUAUGCUUGUGAUGUUUUGAUACUAAUUUUGCUUUUUGAAAUCAGACCAGAUUGUUGCAAA
Molecule: long non-coding RNA, 631 nt
Organism: Hordeum vulgare subsp. vulgare (domesticated barley)
Lineage: Eukaryota; Viridiplantae; Streptophyta; Magnoliopsida; Poales; Poaceae
Exons: 5
Source: RefSeq, a predicted model, not a curated record